GAUGAACGCUGGCGACGUGCCUAAUACAUGCAAGUCGAGCGAACAGACGAGGAGCUUGCUCCUCUGACGUUAGCGGCGGACGGGUGAGUAACACGUGGAUAACCUACCUAUAAGACUGGGAUAACUUCGGGAAACCGGAGCUAAUACCGGGUAAUAUAUUGAACCGCAUGGUUCAAUAGUGAAAGACGGUUUUGCUGUCACUUAUAGAUGGAUCCGCGCCGCAUUAGCUAGUUGGUAAGGUAACGGCUUACCAAGGCAACGAUGCGUAGCCGACCUGAGAGGGUGAUCGGCCACACUGGAACUGAGACACGGUCCAGACUCCUACGGGAGGCAGCAGUAGGGAAUCUUCCGCAAUGGGCGAAAGCCUGACGGAGCAACGCCGCGUGAGUGAUGAAGGUCUUCGGAUCGUAAAACUCUGUUAUUAGGGAAGAACAAAUGUGUAAGUAACUAUGCACGUCUUGACGGUACCUAAUCAGAAAGCCACGGCUAACUACGUG
Molecule: ribosomal RNA, 497 nt
Filed under: uncultured bacterium
Lineage: Bacteria
Description: partial 16S ribosomal RNA
Rfam family: Bacterial small subunit ribosomal RNA
Source: RNAcentral